UGUGGGAGUCUUCGAACUUGGGAUGAUGUCAGCUGACUUCCCAUCUAAGGCUGUUCCAUGGGCCCAAAAUCUUUCAAUACGUACAAACUGGAAUUGGAAUUGGAAAAACUUUUGGCCAAUUUGUAGCAGGUUUUCCAGGGAAGUAUUUUUCACUGACACUGUGGAAACCUAAAUAAGCUUCUCCCUCAGGAUCAUCGUAAGAGUCUGGAAAUAUCAAUCAGCCCGAAACACAGUCCAAGAUUUCAUGUUUUUUGGUUUUUACAAACUGUCAGUUUUGAUUUUUAUUGAGCAAUAAGAAGUUUAGUUGUUUAUUGGAACAAACAAGGCUAGUGACCGUUCUUUCCAAGUGCUGGAUCUUUCCAUUCACUUGAACUAAACGAAGUAUUUCUGGUAUGCCCAGAAGAGGCAAGAAUGUAGAACCGAUGAGCUUGCAUUAGAAAGGAUUUGUGAUGCCUCCUGCAGGUCAUUCCACCCCCCCACCCCCGUGAUCAGCCCAUUUGCAUUCUGUGUUCUGUUUAAAUCUUUGCAAAUACAAAUUGGAUACAAAUUCCAAUUCCCUCCUGGUAAAACUGGAAUUUACUUUUAAAAAAUGAGGAAACUAGGAAAUUCCGUGACUACCUCUUUGUUUUAAAGCAAACAAACUGUAGCAUCACGUCUAUGAGCAAAGAACUUACAGAGAGUGAGCCUGGAUAUUUCCACCCUGACGAGAUUGUGAGAGCGUGUCUUAGAGGCUGCGCCGGAGACUCCUUUGAUCUCAGCUGGUAAACAACCCUGGAAGCAAGGAUUUUUUUCUCUCUCUUCACCAAUCCACAGGCUCCUCUCCCCCCAGCUUGUACUGGAACCUAUAAGGAAUGCCUCUAAAUAGACAGUGUUCUAAACUGGAUCUCUUGAUGGGCCUCAGAUGAGAAUGGAAAGCUUCCCUCUACUGUGUUGGAGCGUGUGUUGCUGCUUUGGGUAAAAAUCUUCCUGGGCAAAUGACUUGAAGUGUAAGACAAAUCUUAUUG
Neogale vison (American mink) is the source of this 1004-nucleotide long non-coding RNA. RefSeq lists it as uncharacterized. The record is from RefSeq and is a predicted model, not a curated record. The transcript has 3 exons. NCBI's taxonomy places the organism in Eukaryota, Metazoa, Chordata, Mammalia, Carnivora, Mustelidae.